AGGGGUGCGGGGGAAUCGGAACCCCCACGCUUUUCCCACCGCUUUUAGCGUAAAAGCGGUGGGAAAAGCGUGGGGGUUUCGAUUCCCCCACACCCCUA
This 98-nucleotide transfer RNA is filed under the name Qingrenia yutianensis. RNAcentral describes it as "Oscillospiraceae bacterium NSJ-50 tRNA-OTHER". The record is from RNAcentral. Lineage: Bacteria; Bacillati; Bacillota; Clostridia; Eubacteriales; Oscillospiraceae.